This 431-nucleotide ribosomal RNA is filed under the name uncultured bacterium. RNAcentral describes it as "bacterial SSU rRNA". It matches the Rfam family "Bacterial small subunit ribosomal RNA", at positions 958 to 1392 of the family's 1533-position model. The record is from RNAcentral.
AACGCGAAGAACCUUACCAAGGCUUGACAUAUAGGGAAAAGUGGCAGAGAUGUCAUGUCCGCAAGGGCUCUAUACAGGUGGUGCAUGGUUGUCGUCAGCUCGUGUCGUGAGAUGUUGGGUUAAGUCCCGCAACGAGCGCAACCCUCGUUCUGUGUUGCCAGCAUUUAGUUGGGGACUCACAGGAGACUGCCGGGGUUAACUCGGAGGAAGGUGGGGAUGACGUCAAAUCAUCAUGCCCCUUAUGUCUUGGGCUGCACGCAUGCUACAAUGGCCGGUACAGAGGGCUGCAAUACCGUAAGGUGGAGCGAAUCCCAAAAAGCCGGUCUCAGUUCGGAUUGAGGUCUGCAACUCGACCUCAUGAAGUUGGAGUUGCUAGUAAUCGUAGAUCAGCAACGCUACGGUGAAUACGUUCCCGGGUCUUGUACACACCG